AACUUGGAGUCCGAACUCUCACUUUCUAACCCUGUGCACUUGUUUGGGAUAGUAACUCUCGCAAGAGAGCGAACUCCUAUUCACUUAUAAACACAAAGUCUAUGAAUGUAUUAAAUUUUAUAACAAAAUAAAACUUUCAACAACGGAUCUCUUGGCUCUCGCAUCGAUGAAGAACGCAGCGAAAUGCGAUAAGUAAUGUGAAUUGCAGAAUUCAGUGAAUCAUCGAAUCUUUGAACGCACCUUGCGCUCCAUGGUAUUCCGUGGAGCAUGCCUGUUUGAGUGUCAUGAAUACUUCAACCCUCCUCUUUCUUAAUGAUUGAAGAGGUGUUUGGUUUCUGAGCGCUGCUGGCCUUUACGGUCUAGCUCGUUCGUAAUGCAUUAGCAUCCGCAAUCGAACUUCGGAUUGACUUGGCGUAAUAGACUAUUCGCUGAGGAAUUCUAGUCUUCGGAUUAGAGCCGGGUUGGGUUAAAGGAAGCUUCUAAUCAGAAUGUCUACAUUUUAAGAUUAGAUCUCAAAUCAGGUAGGACUACCCGCUGAACUUAAGCAUAUCAAUAAGCGGAGGAAAAGAAACUAACAAGGAUUCCCCUAGUAGCGGCGAGCGAAGCGGGAAGAGCUCAAAUUUAUAAUCUGGCACCUUCGGUGUCCGAGUUGUAAUCUCUAGAAAUGUUUUCCGCGUUGGACCGCACACAAGUCUGUUGGAAUACAGCGGCAUAGUGGUGAGACCCCCGUAUAUGGUGCGGACGCCCAGCGCUUUGUGAUACAUUUUCGA
This 770-nucleotide ribosomal RNA is filed under the name Rhodotorula mucilaginosa. RNAcentral describes it as "eukaryotic LSU rRNA". The stretch from base 508 to 770 matches the Rfam family "Eukaryotic large subunit ribosomal RNA", at positions 1 to 260 of the family's 3401-position model. Lineage: Eukaryota; Fungi; Basidiomycota; Microbotryomycetes; Sporidiobolales; Sporidiobolaceae. The record is from RNAcentral.